GUGAGUCAUCGAAUCUUUGAACGCAUCUUGCGCUCCUUGGUAUUCCGAGGAGCAUGCCUGUUUGAGCGUCGUUGAAUUCUCAGAAUCCCAUGAGGGCUGUCCUUCAUGUGGGGUCUGGAUUGUGGAGGAUGCAAUGCUGCCCGAAAGGUGCCUUUGCUUCUCUGAAAUGUACUGGCACUGCCAUCGGUAUGAUACAUACGUCUACCGUGCAGCCAGGUGCAGAUUCUUUCAUGAUUUGACCUCAAAUCAGGCAGGACUACCCGCUGAACUUAAGCAUAUCAAUAAGCGGAGGA
RNAcentral lists this unclassified non-coding RNA (293 nucleotides) under Agaricomycetes sp. Its description in RNAcentral is "partial contains 5.8S ribosomal RNA, internal transcribed spacer 2, and large subunit ribosomal RNA". The stretch from base 1 to 71 matches the Rfam family "5.8S ribosomal RNA", at positions 84 to 154 of the family's 154-position model. Lineage: Eukaryota; Fungi; Basidiomycota; Agaricomycetes. The record is from RNAcentral.